AGAUACCUGACCAUUCAUUUCCACGGAAAUUUCUCUUGUUGAUAACUCCUUGUUAACGGCAAGUCGACAAAUGUGUCUAGUGUCUCUGGAAGUUAACUUCUUUCUUCUUUCUGAAUGUUUAUUUUUUUCCAUACGCCAUACCUUUUUUGAUAACAUUGUGCACUGCUGUUUUGGACCUUCCAAUUUUUUCAGCAAUUACACGUUCAGAGAGUCCAGCACCCAUGUAAAAAAAGAUUUGCUGAAUUUCUUCAAAACACAAUGCCCCUUCCUGUAGCAUAUUCUUAUACAUUUAUUUGCAAGCAUGAGGAAUGUAAUUUAAUUUGCAUAGGAC
RNAcentral lists this long non-coding RNA (331 nucleotides) under Androctonus crassicauda. Lineage: Eukaryota; Metazoa; Arthropoda; Arachnida; Scorpiones; Buthidae. The record is from RNAcentral.